AAUCAACGCUGGCGGCGUGCCUCAGACAUGCAAGUCGAACGCGAAAGUUCCCUUCGGGGAGCGAGUAGAGUGGCGCACGGGUGAGUAACACGUAGGUAAUUUACCUUCGGGUGGGGAAUAACAGCCGGAAACGGCUGCUAAUACCGCACAAUGCAGCGGCUCGACAUCGAGACAGUUGUUAAAGCGGGGGAUCGCAAGACCUCGCGCCUGAAGAGAAGCCUGCGGCAGAUUAGCUAGUUGGUGGGGUAAUGGCUCACCAAGGCGACGAUCUGUAGCCGGCCUGAGAGGGCGGUCGGCCACACUGACACUGACAUACGGGUCAGACUCCUACGGGAGGCAGCAGUGGGGAAUUUUGGGCAAUGGGCGAAAGCCUGACCCAGCAACGCCGCGUGAGGGAGGAAAUCC
RNAcentral lists this ribosomal RNA (405 nucleotides) under uncultured bacterium. RNAcentral describes it as "bacterial SSU rRNA". It matches the Rfam family "Bacterial small subunit ribosomal RNA", at positions 32 to 416 of the family's 1533-position model. The record is from RNAcentral.